CCCGUAGUCUAGCCAGGCAGGAUGGCGGGCAGGGAACCCGCUGGCCGGGGUUCAAAUCCCCGCGGGCCCACCA
RNAcentral lists this transfer RNA (73 nucleotides) under Thermoprotei archaeon. RNAcentral describes it as "tRNA-Pro". It matches the Rfam family "tRNA". From Rfam's summary of the family: Transfer RNA (tRNA) molecules are approximately 80 nucleotides in length. Their secondary structure includes four short double-helical elements and three loops (D, anti-codon, and T loops). Further hydrogen bonds mediate the characteristic L-shaped molecular structure. tRNAs have two regions of fundamental functional importance: the anti-codon, which is responsible for specific mRNA codon recognition, and the 3' end, to which the tRNAs corresponding amino acid is attached (by aminoacyl-tRNA synthetases). tRNAs cope with the degeneracy of the genetic code in two manners: having more than one tRNA (with a specific anti-codon) for a particular amino acid; and 'wobble' base-pairing, i.e. permitting non-standard base-pairing at the 3rd anti-codon position. The record is from RNAcentral. Lineage: Archaea; Thermoproteati; Thermoproteota; Thermoprotei.